RNAcentral lists this ribosomal RNA (301 nucleotides) under uncultured bacterium. RNAcentral describes it as "partial 16S ribosomal RNA". It matches the Rfam family "Bacterial small subunit ribosomal RNA", at positions 509 to 807 of the family's 1533-position model. The record is from RNAcentral.
CAGCAGCCGCGGUAAUACGAAGGGUGCAAGCGUUACUCGGAAUUACUGGGCGUAAAGCGUGCGUAGGUGGUGGUUUAAGUCCGUUGUGAAAGCCCUGGGCUCAACCUGGGAAUUGCAGUGGAUACUGGGUCACUAGAGUGUGGUAGAGGAUAGUGGAAUUUCCGGUGUAGCAGUGAAAUGCGUAGAGAUCGGGAGGAACAUCAGUGGCGAAGGCGGCCAUCUGGGACAACACUGACGCUGAGGCACGAAAGCGUGGGGAGCAAACAGGAUUAGAUACCCCCGUAGUCCCUGUCUCUUAUAC